GGAAGGCAGCAGGCGCGCAAAUUACCCACUCCCGGAACGGGGAGGUAGUGACGAAAAAUAACAAUACGGGACUCUUUUGAGACCCCGUAAUUGGAAUGAGAACACUCUAAAUCCUUUACCGAGUACCCAUUGGAGGACAAGUCUGGUGCCAGCACCCGCGGUAACUCCAGCUCCAAUAGCGUAUAUUAAAGUUGUUGCGGUUAAAAAGCUCGUAGUUGGAUCUCAGUGCGAGACGGACGGUCCACCUACCGGUGGUCACUGUCCGGUCUCCACACCAGCCGGUUUCCCUGGAUGAUCUUCACCGGUUGUCUUGGGUGACCGGCAAGUUUACUUUGAAAAAAUUAGAGUGCUCAAAGCAGGCGCGACGCCUGGAUAAUGGUGCAUGGAAUAAUGGAAUAGGACCUCGGUUCUAUUUUGUUGGUUUUAGGAACACGAGGUAAUGAUUAAGAGGGACAGACGGGGGCAUUCGUAUUGCGACGCUAGAGGUGAAAUUCUUGGACCGCCGCACGACGAACUACUGCGAAAGCAUUUGCCAAGAAUGUUUCCAUUAAUCAAGAACGAAAGUUAGAGGUCCGAAGGCGAUCAGAUACCGCCCUAGUUCUAACCAUAAACGAUGCCAGCCAGCGAUCCGGCUGUGUUCCUCAAAUGACACGCCGGGCAGCUUCCGGGAAACCAAAGCUUUUGGGUUCC
This 690-nucleotide ribosomal RNA is filed under the name Opadometa sp. TL-2013. Its description in RNAcentral is "SSU rRNA". It matches the Rfam family "Eukaryotic small subunit ribosomal RNA", at positions 420 to 1115 of the family's 1831-position model. Lineage: Eukaryota; Metazoa; Arthropoda; Arachnida; Araneae; Tetragnathidae. The record is from RNAcentral.